GAAAGUUGAAAAGAACUUUGAAGAGAGAGUUCAAGAAGGCGUGAAACCGUUAAGAGGUAAACGGGUGGGGUCCGCGCAGGCACGAGACCGAUAGUCAUAUGGGCAUAAAGUGGCCAUUUCGUGCUCAGGUGUGUGUAACUGAGUUUCCAUUACAGAUUCAUUCACUUUAUUUUUCUAAUUUAUUUCUAAGGAGGUAAAGUAUCUAGUAUGUAUGUGCUCCCUAUUCAUUUUACUGCCGAACUGAAGUUCUUGGUAGCAUGGGACUAUACACUGAAUUUCCAAUAAUUU
This 288-nucleotide non-coding RNA is filed under the name Chelonia mydas (Green sea turtle). RNAcentral's name for it is "Eukaryotic large subunit ribosomal RNA". It matches the Rfam family "Eukaryotic large subunit ribosomal RNA", at positions 359 to 619 of the family's 3401-position model. Lineage: Eukaryota; Metazoa; Chordata; Testudines; Cheloniidae. The record is from Rfam by way of RNAcentral.